RNAcentral lists this ribosomal RNA (409 nucleotides) under bacterium. RNAcentral describes it as "partial 16S ribosomal RNA". It matches the Rfam family "Bacterial small subunit ribosomal RNA", at positions 355 to 776 of the family's 1533-position model. The record is from RNAcentral.
UGGGGAAUAUUGCACAAUGGGCGAAAGCCUGAUGCAGCGACGCCGCGUGAGGGAUGACGGCCUUCGGGUUGUAAACCUCUUUCAGUAGGGACGAAGCGCAAGUGACGGUACCUGCAGAAGAAGCACCGGCUAACUACGUGCCAGCAGCCGCGGUAAUACGUAGGGUGUGAGCGUUGUCCGGAAUUACUGGGCGUAAAGAGCUCGUAGGCGGUUUGUCACGUCGUCUGUGAAAUCCUAGGGCUUAACCCUGGACGUGCAGGCGAUACGGGCUGACUUGAGUACUACAGGGGAGACUGGAAUUUCUGGUGUAGCGGUGGAAUGCACAGAUAUCAGGAAGAACACCGAUGGCGAAGGCAGGUCUCUGGGUAGUAACUGACGCUGAGGAGCGAAAGCAUGGGUAGCGAACAGG